Molecule: non-coding RNA, 887 nt
Organism: Oryza sativa Japonica Group (Japanese rice)
Lineage: Eukaryota; Viridiplantae; Streptophyta; Magnoliopsida; Poales; Poaceae
Source: RefSeq, a predicted model, not a curated record
AUGAAAUGUUUCCAAGAUCAUCACCAUGGAAGAAAACAAUAUUCAGGAAGCGACCACGAACCCGUUCAUCUUGACAAGCAUGAUGGACAAGGGUUCUCUUCCCAAUUCUGUGAGGCCCAAUGAUAGGAAGGACAGCCAGAUAUGUGCAAUAGGGUUGCUGAGGAAGACGAGGGCAACUGGCUAGCAGCACAACAAGCUCCCUCACAUCACAAAUUUUGGUCUCCAAACUUUCAAUAACAUUCUUAAGCACAGGUGUGUUCUCUGUACCGAGUGAUAACAAUGAAGUGCUCCUUGUGCAGGUACUGAACCGAAGGCGCUUGCAACUGACCUGGUGAUCUUCAUCUACACCCUCCUCUUCAACACACUGGAACUGGAAGGAGUCAAGAACAUAAUACCCAAGAAACAUACCUUCCAUGAGACCCUUGAGUUGAAGGAUCAUUCCUCUGUUCCUGAUUUGUCGUGCCUCCGCCUCCUCAACUAUGGUGUAGAUCCUUAGGAGAACACUCUUCAGCCUCUCCAGGUCCUGCUCUGUUGUCGUGUGCUGCUUCUCAGAUUUAUGGACCAGGUAGGAGAUGAACCGGCUCACAAGAUCACUUGCAACUGCAGAGAUGAGCAUGUCCAUUGUGAGCCUAACCCUGGAGGAAAUUGUGUAAGCAGAAGUUUGUUACGAAAUACUACUAUUAAGGUGUUAGGAAGUUGGAAAGUCAAGCAAGGCAGCUGCUGGGACUACGAUGAAAGUGAUUGAAAUUAGUUAGGCACUAUUUAACAGUCGUUGUAAGCUCUUUAAUUGUAAUGUACCCUUCCUUUCUUCAUGAAAUUGGUUGACCGAAUCUUUCGGCCAACCCGGCAAAAUAUAUAACAGAUAUAUUGGUGCAUUGAAUUGGUCA